GAACUCGGAUAUAGCUGGUUCUCCUCGAAAUAGCUUUAGGGCUAGCCUCAUAGUAAGAUACGCAGGGGUAGAGCACUGAAUGUUCUAGGGGCCUUCACCGGUUACCGAAAACUAUCAAACUCCGAAUACUGCGCAAUCAUCUAUGGGAGUCAGACUAUGAGAGAUAAGUUCCAUGGUCGAAAGGGAAACAGCCCAGACCUACAGCUAAGGUCCCAAAAUGUAAGUUAAGUGGAAAAGGAUGUGGAGCUGCAUAAACAGCUAGGAUGUUGGCUUAGAAGCAGCCAUUCAUUUAAAGAGUGCGUAACAGCUCACUAGUCGAGUGGCUCUGCGCCGAAGAUAAACGGGGCUAAAACUUACUACCGAAGCUUAGGAUACCUUUUGGUAUGGUAGAGGAGCAUCGUAUAAGAGUCGAAGGUGAACUGUAAGGUAAGCUGGAUUUUAUACGAGAGAGAAUGUUGGCAUGAGUAGCGAGAGGCAGGUGAGAAUCCUGCCCACCGAAAAUCUAAGGUUUCCUGAGGAAGGUUCGUCCACUCAGGGUUAGUCGGGACCUAAGCCGAGGACGAGAGUCGUAGGCGAUGGACAACUGGUUGAGAUUCCAGUACCACCGAAAGUCGUUUGAGUGAAGUGGGGACACAGAAGGAUAGACAGAGCACGCCGUUGGUAGAGCGUGUCCAAGCAGUGAGGCUUGUGCGUAGGCAAAUCCGCGCAUUUUAAGGCUAGGCUGUGAUGGGGAGGGAAAAAAGUACCGGAAGCUGUUGAUUUCACACUGUCAAGAAAAGCCGCUAGCGAGACCGUAGGUGCCCGUACCGCAAACCGACACAGGUAGAUGAGGAGAGAAUCCUAAGGUGAGCGAGAGAACUAUUGUUAAGGAACUCGGCAAAAUUACCCCGUAACUUCGGGAGAAGGGGUGCCAUCGAAAGAUGGCCGCAGUGAAAAGGCCCAGGCGACUGUUUAGCAAAAACACAGGUCUCUGCUAAAGCGAAAGCUGAAGUAUAGGGGCUGACGCCUGCCCGGUGCUGGAAGGUUAAGGGGACUGCUUAGAGCAAUCGAAGGCAUGAACUUAAGCCCCAGUAAACGGCGGCCGUAACUAUAACGGUCCUAAGGUAGCGAAAUUCCUUGUCAGGUAAGUUCUGACCCGCACGAAAGGCGUAACGAUCUGGGCGCUGUCUCAACAAUAGACUCGGUGAAAUUGUAGUACCGGUAAAGAUGCCGGUUACCCGCAGCAGGACGGAAAGACCCCGUGGAGCUUUACUGCAGCUUGAUAUUGGAUUUCGGCAUUGCAUGUACAGGAUAGGUGGGAGACUGCGAACUCAGUACGCCAGUAUUGAGGGAGUCACCGUUGGGAUACCACCCUUGUAAUGUUGAGGUUCUAACUUUGUACCGUGACCCGGUAUGAGGACAGUGUCUGGCGGGCAGUUUGACUGGGGCGGUCGCCUCCUAAAGAGUAACGGAGGCGCCCAAAGGUUCCCUCAGUGCGGACGGAAAUCGCACGAAGAGUGUAAAGGCAGAAGGGAGCUUGACUGCGAGACAAACAGGUCGAGCAGGGACGAAAGUCGGGCUUAGUGAUCCGGUGGUACCGAGUGGAAGGGCCAUCGCUCAACGGAUAAAAGCUACCCCGGGGAUAACAGGCUGAUACCCCCCAAGAGUCCACAUCGACGGGGGUGUUUGGCACCUCGAUGUCGGCUCGUCUCAUCCUGGGGCUGAAGUAGGUCCCAAGGGUUGGGCUGUUCGCCCAUUAAAGAGGUACGCGAGCUGGGUUCAGAACGUCGUGAGACAGUUCGGUCCCUAUCCGCUGUGGGCGUUGGAGAUUUGAGUGGAGCUGUUCUUAGUACGAGAGGACCGGGAUGGACAUACCUCUGGUGCACCAGUUGUUCUGCCAAGGGCAUAGCUGGGUAGCCACGUAUGGAAGGGAUAAGUGCUGAAAGCAUCUAAGUACGAAGCCCCCCACAAGACAAGAUCUCCUCCUUAAAGGUAAGACCCGUGAGAGACUAUCACGUUGA
Molecule: ribosomal RNA, 2000 nt
Filed under: human gut metagenome
Description: bacterial LSU rRNA
Rfam family: Bacterial large subunit ribosomal RNA
Source: RNAcentral